AAAUGAUUUUAAAUUUUUAAAUGAUUUUAAAUUUUUAAAUGUAAUAGUUAUUAUUAAAAAUUAAUUUUAAAUGAUUUUAAAUUUAGUAAUAUUUUAAAAUUACUAAUUAAAAUUGUGCCAGCAAUUGCGGUUAAACAAUUAGUAAAAAUAAAUAUUUAUUUAAUUAAAAUUAAUAAAAUUAUUAUUUAAAUUUAAAAUUUUAAAGUGAAAUAAUUAAAUUUUAAAUUUAAAAUUUAAUUAAUUUUAAAAAUUUAAAUAAAUUUAAAAAAAUUUUUAGUAAACUAGGAUUAGAUACCCUAUUAUUGAAUUAAUAAAUUUAAAUUAAAUUAGUAAGUAUUUAUAUUUGAAAGUUAAAGAAUAUGACGGUAUUUAAAUCAAUUUAGAGGAAUUUGUAUUUUAAUUGAUAAUCCACAAUUUAUUAGACUUAUUUUUUACUUAUAUAUCGUUGUUAUAAAAAUAUUUUUUUAUAAUUUAAAAUAUUUUAAAAUUUAAAAUUUAAAUUUAUAUCAAAUCAAGAUAUAGUUAUAGAUAAGAAAAUUUAUGAAUUACAAUAAAUAUAAAAAAUUUUUAAUUAUAUUUAAUGAAAAAGUUAUAAUUUAAUUGGAUUUAAUAGUAAUUUGAAAUAAAUUUUUUUAAUGAUUAAUGUUUUUAAAUAUGUACAUAUUGCCCGUCGCUCUUAUUAAAUUUAUGAAUUUAAAUUAUUUAAUAUAAAUUAAUUAAGAUAAGUCGUAACAUAGUAGAAGUAUUGGAAAAUGUUUCUAGAAAUAU
This 768-nucleotide non-coding RNA is filed under the name Hydromanicus huapingensis. The record is from RNAcentral. Lineage: Eukaryota; Metazoa; Arthropoda; Insecta; Trichoptera; Hydropsychidae.